RNAcentral lists this ribosomal RNA (402 nucleotides) under uncultured bacterium. RNAcentral describes it as "bacterial SSU rRNA". It matches the Rfam family "Bacterial small subunit ribosomal RNA", at positions 30 to 431 of the family's 1533-position model. The record is from RNAcentral.
AUUGAACGCUGGCGGCAUGCCUUACACAUGCAAGUCGAACGGCAGCACGGGAGCUUGCUCCUGGUGGCGAGUGGCGAACGGGUGAGUAAUACAUCGAAACGUACCCUGAAGUGGGGGAUAACGUAGCGAAAGUUACGCUAAUACCGCAUAUUCUGUGAGCAGGAAAGAGGGGGAUCGCAAGACCUCUUGCUUUAGGAGCGGCCGAUGUCGGAUUAGCUAGUUGGUGAGGUAAAGGCUCACCAAGGCGACGAUCCGUAGCGGGUCUGAGAGGACGACCAGCCACACUGGAACUGAGACACGGUCCAGACUCCUACGGGAGGCAGCAGUGGGGAAUUUUGGACAAUGGGGGGCAACCCUGAUCCAGCCAUUCCGCGUGAGUGAAGAAGGCCUCGGUUGUAAGAC